RNAcentral lists this non-coding RNA (29 nucleotides) under Mus musculus (house mouse). The record is from RNAcentral. Lineage: Eukaryota; Metazoa; Chordata; Mammalia; Rodentia; Muridae.
UGACAAUGCCAGCCGUGGGCAAGGAAGGA